Molecule: ribosomal RNA, 450 nt
Filed under: uncultured bacterium
Lineage: Bacteria
Description: partial 16S ribosomal RNA
Rfam family: Bacterial small subunit ribosomal RNA
Source: RNAcentral
GUGGGGAAUAUUGGACAAUGGGCGAAAGCCUGAUCCAGCCAUGCCGCGUGUGUGAAGAAGGUCUUCGGAUUGUAAAGCACUUUAAGUUGGGAGGAAGGGCAGUAAGUUAAUACCUUGCUGUUUUGACGUUACCGACAGAAUAAGCACCGGCUAACUUCGUGCCAGCAGCCGCGGUAAUACGAAGGGUGCAAGCGUUAAUCGGAAUUACUGGGCGUAAAGCGCGCGUAGGUGGUUCAGUAAGUUGGAAGUGAAAUCCCCGGGCUCAACCUGGGAACUACUUUCAAAACUGCUGAGAUAGAGUACGGUAGAGGGUGGUGGAAUUUCCUGUGUAGCGGUGAAAUGCGUAGAUAUAGGAAGGAACACCAGUGGCGAAGGCGACCACCUGGACUGAUACUGACACUGAGGUGCGAAAGCGUGGGGAGCAAACAGGAUUAGAUACCCUAGUAGUCC